AUUGAACGCUGGCGGUAUGCUUAACACAUGCAAGUCGAACGGUAGCAGGCCUUCGGGCGCUGACGAGUGGCGGACGGGUGAGUAACGCGUAGGAAUCUGCCUGUUAGUGGGGGGACAACGUGGGGGAAACCCACGCUAAUACCGCAUACGCCCUACGGGGGGAAAGCGGGGGGCUCUUCGGACCUCGCGCUAACAGAUGAGCCUGCGUUAGAUUAGCUUGUUGGUAGGGUAAAGGCCUACCAAGGCGACGAUCUAUAGCUGGUCUGAGAGGACGAUCAGCCACACUGGGACUGAGACAUGGCCCAGACUCCUACGGGAGGCAG
Molecule: ribosomal RNA, 323 nt
Filed under: uncultured Pseudomonadota bacterium
Lineage: Bacteria; Pseudomonadati; Pseudomonadota
Description: uncultured proteobacterium partial 16S ribosomal RNA
Rfam family: Bacterial small subunit ribosomal RNA
Source: RNAcentral